GGGGCCAUAGCUCAGCUGGGAGAGCGCCUGCCUUGCACGCAGGAGGUCGGCAGUUCGAUCCCGCUUGGCUCCA
Molecule: transfer RNA, 73 nt
Filed under: Mayetiola destructor (Hessian fly)
Lineage: Eukaryota; Metazoa; Arthropoda; Insecta; Diptera; Cecidomyiidae
Description: tRNA-Ala for anticodon UGC
Rfam family: tRNA
About the family: Transfer RNA (tRNA) molecules are approximately 80 nucleotides in length.
Source: RNAcentral